GUUAUAGGGUCAAGCGAACAAGUGCAUGUGGUGGAUGCCUUGGCGAUCACAGGCGAUGAAGGACGCGGUAGCCUGCGAAAAGCUACGGGGAGCUGGCAAACAAGCUUUGAUCCGUAGAUGUCCGAAUGGGGAAACCCACUCCGUAUGGAGUAUCCAUGGCUGAAUACAUAGGCCAUGCGAAGCGAACGCGGUGAACUGAAACAUCUAAGUAACCGCAGGAAAAGAAAUCAACCGAGAUUCCCAAAGUAGUGGCGAGCGAAAUGGGAUGAGCCUUGCACUCUUUAUUUGUAUUGUUAGCCGAACGCUCUGGAAAGUGCGGCCAUAGCAGGUGAUAGCCCUGUAGGCGAAAACAGUAUGAAAGAACUAGGUGUGCGACAAGUAGGGCGGGACACGUGAAAUCCUGUCUGAAGAUGGGGGGACCAUCCUCCAAGGCUAAAUACUCGUGAUCGACCGAUAGUGAACCAGUACCGUGAGGGAAAGGCGAAAAGAACCCCGGGAGGGGAGUGAAAUAGAUCCUGAAACCGCAUGCAUACAAACAGUCGGAGCCUCGCAAGGGGUGACGGCGUACCUUUUGUAUAAUGGGUCAGCGACUUACGUUCAGUAGCAAGCUUAACCGUAUAGGGCAGGCGUAGCGAAAGCGAGUCCGAAUAGGGCGUUCAGUUGCUGGGCGUAGACCCGAAACCAGGUGAUCUAUCCAUGGCCAGGAUGAAGGUGCGGUAACACGUACUGGAGGUCCGAACCCACUAACGUUGAAAAGUUAGGGGAUGAGCUGUGGAUAGGGGUGAAAGGCUAAACAAACCUGGAAAUAGCUGGUUCUCUCCGAAAACUAUUUAGGUAGUGCCUCGUGUCUCACCUUCGGGGGUAGAGCACUGUCAUGGUUGGGGGGUCUAUUGCAGAUUACCCCGCCAUAGCAAACUCCGAAUACCGAAGAGUGCAAUCACGGGAGACAGACAUCGGGUGCUAACGUCCGGUGUCAAGAGGGAAACAACCCAGACCGCCAGCUAAGGUCCCCAAAUAUGGCUAAGUGGGAAACGAAGUGGGAAGGCUAAAACAGUCAGGAGGUUGGCUUAGAAGCAGCCACCCUUUAAAGAAAGCGUAAUAGCUCACUGAUCGAGUCGUCCUGCGCGGAAGAUGUAACGGGGCUAAGCCAUAUACCGAAGCUGCGGAUGCGAGCUAGUCUCGCAUGGUAGGAGAGCGUUCCGUAAGCCUGCGAAGGUGCCUUGUAAAGGGUGCUGGAGGUAUCGGAAGUGCGAAUGCUGACAUGAGUAGCGAUAAAGGGGGUGAAAGGCCCCCUCGCCGUAAGCCCAAGGUUUCCUACGCAACGUUCAUCGGCGUAGGGUGAGUCGGCCCCUAAGGCGAGGCAGAAAUGCGUAGCUGAUGGGAAGCAGGUCAAUAUUCCUGCACCGUCGUUAGAUGCGAUGGGGGGACGGAUCGCGGAAGGUUGUCCGGGUGUUGGAAGUCCCGGUCGCUGCAUUGGAGAAGGCGCUUAGGCAAAUCCGGGCGCAGGAUUCAAGGGUGUGGCGCGAGCUCCCUCGGGAGCGAAGCAAUUGGAAGUGGUUCCAAGAAAAGCCUCUAAGCUUCAGUCUAACGAUGACCGUACCGCAAACCGACACAGGUGGGCGAGAUGAGUAUUCNCGGAAGGUUGUCCGGGUGUUGGAAGUCCCGGUCGCUGCAUUGGAGAAGGCGCUUAGGCAAAUCCGGGCGCAGGAUUCAAGGGUGUGGCGCGAGCUCCCUCGGGAGCGAAGCAAUUGGAAGUGGUUCCAAGAAAAGCCUCUAAGCUUCAGUCUAACGAUGACCGUACCGCAAACCGACACAGGUGGGCGAGAUGAGUAUUCUAAGGCGCUUGAGAGAACUCGGGAGAAGGAACUCGGCAAAUUGGUACCGUAACUUCGGGAUAAGGUACGCCCUUGUAGCUUGACUGGCCUGCGCCAGGAGGGUGAAGGGGUUGCAAUAAACUGGUGGCUGCGACUGUUUAAUAAAAACACAGCACUCUGCAAACACGAAAGUGGACGUAUAGGGUGUGACGCCUGCCCGGUGCCGGAAGAUUAAAUGAUGGGGUGCAAGCUCUUGAUUGAAGUCCCGGUAAACGGCGGCCGUAACUAUAACGGUCCUAAGGUAGCGAAAUUCCUUGUCGGGUAAGUUCCGACCUGCACGAAUGGCGUAACGAUGGCCACACUGUCUCCUCCCGAGACUCAGCGAAGUUGAAGUGUUUGUGAUGAUGCAAUCUACCCGCGGCUAGACGGAAAGACCCCAUGAACCUUUACUGUAGCUUUGCAUUGGACUUUGAACCGAUCUGUGUAGGAUAGGUGGGAGGCUAUGAAACCGGAACGCUAGUUUCGGUGGAGCCGUCCUUGAAAUACCACCCUGGUUUGUUUGAGGUUCUAACCUUGGCCCGUGAUCCGGGUCGGGGACAGUGCAUGGUAGGCAGUUUGACUGGGGCGGUCUCCUCCCAAAGCGUAACGGAGGAGUACGAAGGUACGCUAGGUACGGUCGGAAAUCGUGCUGAUAGUGCAAUGGCAUAAGCGUGCUUAACUGCGAGACCGACAAGUCGAGCAGGUGCGAAAGCAGGUCAUAGUGAUCCGGUGGUUCUGUAUGGAAGGGCCAUCGCUCAACGGAUAAAAGGUACUCUGGGGAUAACAGGCUGAUACCGCCCAAGAGUUCAUAUCGACGGCGGUGUUUGGCACCUCGAUGUCGGCUCAUCUCAUCCUGGGGCUGUAGCCGGUCCCAAGGGUAUGGCUGUUCGCCAUUUAAAGAGGUACGUGAGCUGGGUUUAAAACGUCGUGAGACAGUUUGGUCCCUAUCUGCCGUGGGCGUUGGAUAUUUGAAGGGGGCUGCUCCUAGUACGAGAGGACCGGAGUGGACGAACCUCUGGUGUACCGGUUGUGACGCCAGUCGCAUCGCCGGGUAGCUAUGUUCGGAAGAGAUAACCGCUGAAAGCAUCUAAGCGGGAAACUCGCCUUAAGAUGAGAUAUCCCUGGAGGCUUGACCUCCUUGAAGGGUCGUUCGAGACCAGGACGUUGAUAGGUCAGGUGUGUAAGCGCAGUAAUGCGUUCAGCUAACUGAUACUAAUUGCCCGUAAGGCUUGAUCCUAUAACA
RNAcentral lists this ribosomal RNA (3096 nucleotides) under Burkholderia ubonensis. RNAcentral's name for it is "bacterial LSU rRNA". It matches the Rfam family "Bacterial large subunit ribosomal RNA". The record is from RNAcentral. Lineage: Bacteria; Pseudomonadati; Pseudomonadota; Betaproteobacteria; Burkholderiales; Burkholderiaceae.